ACUGUAUCAGCUGCUACAGAGAAGUUUCUUCCUGAAGGAAUUAAUCUUUCCACUGUUUCUUCUCUCUGAAGUCCCUCUGGGUUUAUGCCUUAGCAGCAAUCUGCCCAAG
This 109-nucleotide long non-coding RNA is filed under the name Catharus ustulatus (Swainson's thrush). RNAcentral's name for it is "lncRNA (ENSCUSG00005005393.1)". Lineage: Eukaryota; Metazoa; Chordata; Aves; Passeriformes; Turdidae. The record is from RNAcentral.